UUGAUUCCUGUGAAGAUUUGCUGAUGACGAUCACAGUUCCUGCAAAACACAGACAAACAGACAAGCUAACAAACAAAACUAGAAAACAAACAGAGACAGAAGACUGACAUGUGGUCACAGUAAACCUGUUUUCAUACUUUCCCUUAUAUCUCAGCCUGAUAUAAACUGAUUAUAAAAACUGUGGUGAGUUUCACUGAUGAGUUUCGGUAGAGGAACCGGUUUGGCUUGUUCUUUGUAUCUUGUCAAUCUUAUAAGUUGCACAAUUGCUAGAACACUUUUUAUACAUUUUACUGUUCAAGAACCAAAAGACUAAAAGUGUGUUGUCUGGUCCUCCUGUGGAGCAGACCUCAGAGAGCUGGUGGGUAAGAUCCUCUACAAACCAGCUGUGUGCUCAUGUUUUUGGGAGGUGUGUUUCCUCAUUGUCUAUAAAAACUGAAGAACGCCACCGUCAACAGAUCAGCAGCUCUGUUCCAGUAGAAGUGUUGGUGUGUGAAUGAGCAGAAGCCGGGGUUGGAUUUCUCCAGUCAGUCCUUUCAGCUGACUGGUUUACGAUGACUGGAGCACAGUCACUGUGUGCUUCAGUGUCACAGCUCUCCUCUCAUCAAACACACUGUGGUGAAGCCGCUGUCCACCGCCUGCACCAGCAACAAACUGCAGACACAAGGUCACAUCUGGAAGGUAGAGAGCCACAAGAUGUCUGCUGUGUGAAGAGCUUUUUCAGCUAACAUGUCCUCAUCUUUACAACAGUGGGGUGUCGCCACAAACCUGACAUCCUGGUGAACCAUGGUGAAUCACAUCCACAAAACAACACAAAACUGUGGAGAAAUAAAGGCUGAUCUUUAAAACAUUGACACUGUGAUUUUGAGCUUCAGGGAUAAACAACACUCCUGAAUCCAGCUGUUUUUAAAGGACCAGGCAGCGACAGAGGAUGAGAGGCAGUAGUCAUGUUCAUUUACUGUCAUUGCAUACACGUGGAUACAAACAGGGAAAAAAAAAACACAAAACUAAGGAUGAACACAGGAAAAAAAAAAAAAAAACAAA
Lates calcarifer (barramundi perch) is the source of this 1041-nucleotide long non-coding RNA. RefSeq lists it as uncharacterized. The record is from RefSeq and is a predicted model, not a curated record. The transcript has 2 exons. Lineage: Eukaryota; Metazoa; Chordata; Actinopteri; Centropomidae.